This 704-nucleotide long non-coding RNA is filed under the name Nicotiana benthamiana. Its description in RNAcentral is "long non-coding RNA (NBEN_LNC029945)". Lineage: Eukaryota; Viridiplantae; Streptophyta; Magnoliopsida; Solanales; Solanaceae. The record is from RNAcentral.
AUUGAAUGUAUACAGUCCAUUCCGGAUAAUCAUGUUCUUAUCCUAUAUAGAUUCAAAUAUAAAGAUAAAAUAGCCAUCGUCAUGUAGUAGUAUCAUCGGUGUAGCCACUUAAUUCCAUACUCCAUAGAAAAACUUGAGCAUCUCUUUGAAUGUUGUAUUGCCCCAACAUUUUUCCAUUAUUAGCAUUGACUCUCCACUUCAUAUAGGUUCAAUUAAACCAGUUUCACUCCAUCAUUGAUCACUGGUGUGUAGAACUUCAAUUGUAUUCCUUGGUCCUUUAUUCGAUUGCCUUUGACCACCUUUGUCAUAGAUCUAGCUAGUACUCCUGUUGAGUAGGUCAGUUUGCACGUUGCAGUUGUCAUUCCUAAUUCCGGCGGGAAUGAGGUUUCUGUUAGAAUUGUAGUAAUUCCCCUCACCGGUGGUUGAGAAUCAUUCAUUGCUGCCGUUUGCAUGAUUGUUGGUGCACCUCCAUCCCCGACAACCAACUGAUAAGUUGUCGAGGACCUAAUUGUUGUUCAAUUUUGAAUUUUAGUGUCACCAAUCAACUAGUCGAUCCCUCAAUUUGUUCUGUAGAGCUCUUUGUCAUCAAAGCUUGUCUUUGAUGGCAGUUGGCAUACGUUAGCGAUCCUGCUUAACGUGCGCCUUCAGACAGAAAACUCAUCAACCACGUUUUUUAAAUCUCUUUUAGUCAAUUUAGUUGUGUA